GAUGAACGCUGGCGGCGUGCCUAAUACAUGCAAGUCGAGCGAACAGACGAGGAGCUUGCUCCUCUGACGUUAGCGGCGGACGGGUGAGUAACACGUGGAUAACCUACCUAUAAGACUGGGAUAACUUCGGGAAACCGGAGCUAAUACCGGAUAAUAUAUUGAACCGCAUGGUUCAAUAGUGAAAGACGGUUUUGCUGUCACUUAUAGAUGGAUCCGCGCCGCAUUAGCUAGUUGGUAAGGUAACGGGUUACCAAGGCAACGAUGCGUAGCCGAGCUGAGAGGGUGAUCGGCCACACUGGAACUGAGCCACGGUCCAGACUCCUACGGGAGGCAGCAGUAGGGAAUCUUCCGCAAUGGGCGAAAGCCUGACGGAGCAACGCCGCGUGAGUGAUGAAGGUCUUCGGAUCGUAAAACUCUGUUAUUAGUGAAGAACAAAUGUGUAAGUAACUAUGCACGUCUUGACGGUACCUAAUCAGAAAGCCACGGCUAACUACGUG
RNAcentral lists this ribosomal RNA (497 nucleotides) under uncultured bacterium. RNAcentral describes it as "partial 16S ribosomal RNA". It matches the Rfam family "Bacterial small subunit ribosomal RNA", at positions 28 to 507 of the family's 1533-position model. The record is from RNAcentral.